Molecule: ribosomal RNA, 1280 nt
Filed under: metagenome
Description: bacterial LSU rRNA
Rfam family: Bacterial large subunit ribosomal RNA
Source: RNAcentral
UGGUUCCAGAAAGUAGCUCCACCGUAUAGACCGUACCCGAAACCGACACAGGUGGUCAGGUAGAGUAUACCAAGGCGCUUGAGAGAAGUGUCCUGAAGGAACUCGGCAAAUUGCCUCCGUACCUUCGGAAGAAGGAGGCCCUCACUAUGCGCAAGCACUUUGAGGGGGCACAGGCCAGGGGGUAGCGACUGUUUAGCAAAAACACAGGGCUCUGCUAAGUCGGCUUCAAGACGACGUAUAGGGCCUGACGCCUGCCCGGUGCCUGAAGGUUAAGUGGAGUGGUGCAAGCUGCGAAAUGAAGCCCAGGUAAACGGCGGCCGUAACUAUAACGGUCCUAAGGUAGCGAAAUUCCUUGUCGGGUAAGUUCCGACCUGCACGAAUGGCGUAACGACUUCCCCACUGUCUCCAGGACAUGCUCAGCGAAAUUGAAUUCUCCGUGAAGAUGCGGAGUACCCGCGGUUGGACGGAAAGACCCCGUGCACCUUUACUGCAGCUUCAGAGUGGCAUUAGGAAAGAACUGUGUAGCAUAGGUGGGAGGCUUUGAAGCAUCGGCGCCAGCUGAUGUGGAGCCAUAGGUGAAAUACCACCCUGUUGUUUUCUGAUGUCUAACCUCGAUCCAUGAAACUGGAUCAGGGACCCUCUGUGGCGGGUAGUUUGACUGGGGCGGUCGCCUCCUAAAGAGUAACGGAGGCGCGCGAAGGUUGGCUCAGGACGGUUGGAAACCGUCUGUUAGAGUGCAAUGGCAUAAGCCAGCCUGACUGCGAGACUGACAAGUCGAGCAGAGACGAAAGUCGGUCAUAGUGAUCCGGUGGUCCCUCGUGGAAGGGCCAUCGCUCAACGGAUAUAAGGUACGCCGGGGAUAACAGGCUGAUAACCCCCAAGAGCUCAUAUCGACGGGGUUGUUUGGCACCUCGAUGUCGGCUCAUCACAUCCUGGGGCUGGAGCAGGUCCCAAGGGUUUGGCUUUCGCCAAUUAAAGUGGUACGUGAGCUGGGUUCAGAACGUCGCGAGACAGUUUGGUCCCUAUCUGCCGUGGGCGUCGAAAUUUGAGAGGAGUUGACCCUAGUACGAGAGGACCGGGUUGAACAUACCUCUGGUGUACCUGUCGUUCUGCCAAGAGCGCAGCAGGGUAGCUAUGUAUGGACGGGAUAACCGCUGAAAGCAUCUAAGCGGGAAGCCUCCCUCGAGAUAAGAUUUCAUAGAGCCGUCGGAGACCACGACGUUGAUAGAUCGGAUGUAGAAGUGCGGUAACGCAUGGAGCUAACCGAUACUAAUUGCUCU